This 65-nucleotide transfer RNA is filed under the name Romualdius bifoveolatus. RNAcentral describes it as "tRNA-Glu". Lineage: Eukaryota; Metazoa; Arthropoda; Insecta; Coleoptera; Curculionidae. The record is from RNAcentral.
AUUUGUAUAGUUUAUAUAAAACAUUACAUUUUCAUUGUAAAAUUAGAACUAACUUCUUUCAAAUA